AAAACAUGACUUUGAUCUGCGUCCUCAUCUGGACUCUCCUCUGCUGCUGCUUCACAGAGUCCAGAGGACAAUAUACACUGACUCAGCCUGGAGCAGUGAGCUCUGCUGUGGGAGACACAGUCACCAUCAAGUGUAGGACGAGUUACAAUGUUUAUAGCUCCAACCGUUUAGCCUGGUACCAACAGAAAGAUGGAGAAACUCCUAAACUGCUCAUUUACCGUGCUAGCACGCAAGUAUCAGGGAUCUCAGAUCGUUUUAAUGCCAGUGGUUUAGACUCUGACUUCACUCUGACCAUCAGUGGAGUCCAGGCUGAAGAUGCAGCAGUUUAUUACUGUCAGAGUUUUCACUGGCCUGUCAGUCAGCGUGUGUUCACACAGUGAAAAACAGUCGUACAAAAACCUCCCUCAGUCAGACUGAACCGAAACUGAACUGACUGCUGCAGCUGGAAGAUACUGCAGAGACUGAUACAGUUCACUGAGGACACACACACACACACACACACACACGCACACACACACAUACACACACACACACACACAAAUCUUUGCCAUCUCCUUUAAGGACACAAAUCUACAAGUUUCUAUACAGAGAGCAGUACCAGGGAUUUAAAUGAAAGCACUCAAGAAGGUACAUUCGGCACCGCGAUCAAUUGUUCUUUGUUGUUGCUCACUUAAUUAUGUAAAAGAGUAGAAAUUUUGAAGGUCAUGAGAUAAAAUCCACUGAACUUCUGACUUUCACAUUUCUACCCCUUUACAUAAUUGACAUUUAAACACAAAGGGAGUAACUGUUGGACACUUUGACUACAAGGACAUUUGUAUCUAGUUAUUUACUUUGUGUUAUAGUAUCGGGCUUUUGACAGUCAGUAGGCUGGCCUUGUGUUCUUGUUGCCUGUCUCUUUCAGGUAUCUAGCAGGUCAGAUGCAGCACACCUGAGCAGGUGUGAGCCUGGUCCAGGUGUAAUAUAAAGCAACUGAUUGAACCUCUGCUCGCUCCUUUGGUUUCUCCUUACUCUUGUGGAUGCUGCUUGGCUGAUCAAGAAUUUGGUUUUGUCCUGGUGUGGUGCAUUCAGUCAUAAAACUCAGUCUGCUUUUGGGUUUCUCUACAUUAUUCCAUUAAAAUAUCUUAUUGCCUUC
Molecule: long non-coding RNA, 1132 nt
Organism: Oreochromis niloticus (Nile tilapia)
Lineage: Eukaryota; Metazoa; Chordata; Actinopteri; Cichliformes; Cichlidae
Exons: 2
Source: RefSeq, a predicted model, not a curated record